This 494-nucleotide ribosomal RNA is filed under the name uncultured bacterium. RNAcentral's name for it is "partial 16S ribosomal RNA". It matches the Rfam family "Bacterial small subunit ribosomal RNA", at positions 28 to 523 of the family's 1533-position model. The record is from RNAcentral.
GACGAACGCUGGCGGCGUGCUUAACACAUGCAAGUCGAGCGAUGAAAGCCUUAUGAACUAUUCGUAGUGAUUGAGGCCGGAUUAGCGGCGGACGGGUGAGUAACGCGUGAGCAACCUGCCUUAAACAACGGGAUAGCCUCGGGAAACCGGGAUUAAUACCGUAUGAGACCCCGCCUUCACAUGAAGAAGAGGUUAAAGAUUUAUCGGUUUAAGAUGGGCUCGCGUCUGAUUAGCUAGUUGGUGAGAUAAAAGCCCACCAAGGCGACGAUCAGUAACCAGCUUGAGAGGGUGAACGGGAACGGUGGAACUGAGCCACGGUCCAAACUCCUACGGGAGGCAGCAGUGGGGAAUAUUGAACAAUGGGGGAAACCCUGAUGCAGCGACGCCGCGUGAGCGAUGAAGGAAUUCGUUUCGUAAAGCUCUGUCCAAGGGGAAGAUAAUGACAGUACCCUUGGAGGAAGCCCCGGCUAAAUACGUGCCAGCCGCCGCCGUAA